GCAGUCAUGGGGUAGUGGUAACCUGGGUCGUUGCCAUGGAGCCGUGUCCUGGUACUAUACCACCACGUCGACCCGCCCCGAGUUCGAUUCUCGGUGGCUGCA
Molecule: non-coding RNA, 102 nt
Organism: Fomitopsis serialis
Lineage: Eukaryota; Fungi; Basidiomycota; Agaricomycetes; Polyporales; Fomitopsidaceae
Source: the annotation of a RefSeq genome assembly